UGCCAGCAGCCGCGGUAAUACGAAGGGUGCUAGCGUUGUUCGGAAUUACUGGGCGUAAAGAGCAUGUAGGCGGAUUUGUAAGUUAGGGGUGAAAUCCCGGGGCUCAACCCCGGAACUGCCUUUGAUACUGCAAGUCUAGAGUCCGAGAGAGGUGAGUGGAAUUCCUAGUGUAGAGGUGAAAUUCGUAGAUAUUAGGAGGAACACCAGUGGCGAAGGCGGCUCACUGGCUCGAUACUGACGCUGAGGUGCGAAAGCGUGGGGAGCAAACAGGAUUAGAUA
RNAcentral lists this ribosomal RNA (279 nucleotides) under uncultured bacterium. Its description in RNAcentral is "partial 16S ribosomal RNA". It matches the Rfam family "Bacterial small subunit ribosomal RNA", at positions 506 to 784 of the family's 1533-position model. The record is from RNAcentral.